RNAcentral lists this ribosomal RNA (231 nucleotides) under uncultured bacterium. RNAcentral's name for it is "partial 16S ribosomal RNA". It matches the Rfam family "Bacterial small subunit ribosomal RNA", at positions 1259 to 1500 of the family's 1533-position model. The record is from RNAcentral.
GAAGCGGAGCAAAUCUCAAAAACCGGUCCCAGUUCGGAUUGUAGGCUGCAACUCGCCUACAUGAAGUCGGAGUUGCUAGUAAUCGCGGAUCAGAAUGCCGCGGUGAAUGCGUUCCCGGGUCUUGUACACACCGCCCGUCACACCAUGGAAGUUGGGGGCGCCCGAAGUUGCCUAAGAAAUAAGGUACCUAAGGCGAAACCAAUGACUGGGGUGAAGUCGUAACAAGGUACC